AUACAGAGGGUGCGAGCGUUAAUCGGAAUUACUGGGCGUAAAGCGCGCGUAGGCGGUCUAUUAAGUCAGAUGUGAAAUCCCAGGGCUCAACCUUGGAACUGCAUCUGAUACUGGUAGAAUAGAGUUUUGGAGAGGGAAGUAGAAUUUCAGGUGUAGCGGUGAAAUGCAUAGAGAUCUGAAGGAAUACCAGUGGCGAAGGCGACUUCCUGGCCAAAAACUGACGCUGAGGUGCGAAAGCGUGGGUAGCAAACGGGAUUAGAUACCCUUGUAGUCC
This 274-nucleotide ribosomal RNA is filed under the name uncultured bacterium. RNAcentral describes it as "partial 16S ribosomal RNA". It matches the Rfam family "Bacterial small subunit ribosomal RNA", at positions 523 to 796 of the family's 1533-position model. The record is from RNAcentral.